AAAGUCAUCUUCACAGUGAAGAUCGCAUUAUCUACCUGAAGAGGAGCACCAAAUUGCCUAGGCCUGAAAAGUCUGGGCUGGGAGAAAGCAUUCAUAGAACCCUUUAGAUAAUUUGUACUUUCUAGAAAAGUACUGAAAUAUACCCCUAGAUAUGCAGCUGUAGAACUAGCAUUAUCUCAGGUCAUUUAGGUGAACAGUACUUGUGAUGAGGCAGUGAAACAGAGUGCAAGGCUCUUCUUCCUAUUUGUUUUGAGUAGGUCUGGUCUUGGUCCUCUGUUUGCCCAGUUGACCUGUGAAAUGGGUGUGUGAGCACCACACCUUCUCACAAGACUGUAACUUUGACGUCAGCAAGCUUCAUUAGCUGCUGUUUGUCUAACCAAAGAGAACAGAGGGUGGAAAGUAUCUUAAUUAUCUGUCUGCCCACAUGCCAGGUGCCACUCGCCCAACAUCCAGACCAAGAUUGGCAUCAAUAGAACUGUGAAACAAGGAAACACGGAACAGUGGAAGGAAAAGGCAGACGAGGAACCCAAGACUGCUGAUUGAGCAGAGCUUGCUGCUGUGUGUUGGGCAGGAGUGGCAGAGACACGGCAUGCCUGGAAUGUGGCAGACUCAGGCUCAUACUCCAACUCCUCAGCUGAGGGUCUUUUUGCAAAUUGAUUAAGUGCCUGAGUCUUAUUUCCAACAUUAGAAUAGGGAAAAUAAAACAAAGCUUUUAGCAUUGUUGGAAGGAUGAGAGACAUCUAUGUAAAUCAUAGGCCUCAUUGGACCCUCAAAAACUGACAGGAGAGUCAGGUGCAGUGAUGCGUGAUGGUAUCCAAGCAGCUUGGGAGGCAGAGGCAGGAGGAUUCCAAGUUCAAAGCCAGCCUCAGCAAUUUAGGGAGGCCCUAAGCAACUUAGUGAGACCCUGUCUCAAAAUAAAAAUAAAAGGGACUGGGGAUGUG
RNAcentral lists this long non-coding RNA (941 nucleotides) under Marmota monax (woodchuck). The record is from RNAcentral. Lineage: Eukaryota; Metazoa; Chordata; Mammalia; Rodentia; Sciuridae.